RNAcentral lists this long non-coding RNA (3582 nucleotides) under Mytilus galloprovincialis (Mediterranean mussel). The record is from RNAcentral. Lineage: Eukaryota; Metazoa; Mollusca; Bivalvia; Mytilida; Mytilidae.
AUUUUGAAUUUUCCAAUUAACAUGAUUUAUGACGCACAUUACAUUGGGAGCAUAAAUUUAGCAUGUUUAGGAACAUGCAUGAUAAAGAAAAUAUUGAGUAACACCAUGUUUAUGAAUACUUCUGAAAGCUAAUCUCUAGAUUAUCAUGAUUAUACUUCAUUAAUGAACUGUACAUGUAUAUUUUUGCAAGUUUUGUCACCUGGUCACAGUGCAAUUAAGUUAUCAUUUGCCUUAACCAAAACAAUAAAUUGUUAUAGAUUAAAUCUGAACACAUGCAAAAUGACAUAAAGAGUAUAAGAAAUUACCUUUCCCAGCAAGAGAAGCUUACAUACUUUCUGUUUUAACAGAACUUUUUGUCAUGAAUUAUUAUUUUUUUACAUCUUAAAUUUAAAAAAUGUAUAAGUCUACAUGCACAAGAAACACUGGUCUUCGUAAACAAUUAUCAGAAUACAUGUUGUAUAAUUCAAAAUCUGCAUGCAGAAGACUCACUGCAUGUCAGGUCUUCAAAUACAAUUUUGAGUGGCCAGAGUGACACAGUUUUAAGAUUAAGGCUGAAUAAAAAAAAGUAUGUGGUUCCAGUUACAUGUAAGAAAAGUUAGGGUAUGUAGUAAAGGAUUUUUUUUUACAUUAUGGCUAUGGGAGGAACAUUCUGACUUUGAUCGUGCUUAUUGAAAAAUGACAAAAAAAUCUUUAUGGUUGGCUAUUAUAUAUUAGGACUAAAAAGUAGGAUAGGUAGCUAUAGGGUAACUGGAACCACACAUAUGUUUUAAUUUGGCCUAAGGAUCGGGACGUACAAUUAAGGACAUUUUUAUUAUCUCAAAGGUUUAUGUUAAUAUUUUAAAUAUUGAAGAAACAUAUAAUGAUUUACAUGUACUUUUGCUAGAAUUUAAGUAUUUUUGGAUUAAAAAAAGCUUUUCCAACUUCAUGAACAUGUUAGAAUUAAACAAGAAUAGUUGUAUGCCCCUGCCUCAGCAUUCCAGGGGCAUUAAGUGUUACCCUUGGGCCAAAAUUAAAAAUAUGUUUGUUUUCCCUCCCCCACCCUGGUCAAAAAUAAGCCCCCGGGUCAAAAAAUUAUUUUCCACAAAAAAAUCGAAAUUAUUUUUUUCCUGAAAAUAAUUUGUUUCCAUUUUUGGAAAGUGUUUGAAAGCAGAAGGAUUGAUAUUCUAAAUAAAUACACUCAAAUUGAGCACAAACAACUGAUAAGUGGCCUGGACUGGACAAGUCAAACCAUUCAUGUGACCAAAAAAAAAACCUGCCUUCUUGGUCUGUUUACAAAGGGUAGACCCGGGGGAGGGGAAACAGACAUUCUUUUAAAUGUGGCCUUGGUACUCCUGUAAGUUAUUGCAUCCCAAAAAUUGGUUCCCAUUCUUUAAUUUUAGUUUUCUUCAACUAAAUGUUACAAAAUCUAUACACAAUGCUUAUUUCCACAAAACACAGACCAAGUUUGAACUUAGGUGUCAUAACUUUUACAGUUCCAGAGUUAUGCCCAUUUACAAAUAGAAAAAUAAUUUCCAUUCUCUAACUUAAUUUUUAAGUUUGCCUCGACCAACUAUUGUUAAACUAUUAUAUUAUAAAUAAUGUGGGUUUACACAAUGCCUAUUACCACAAAACACAGAUCAAGCUGAAAUUGUGGGUGGUAUCAUAGGGGUUCUGGUUUUUUUCCUAAAAAAAUUCUGACCCCCAAUUGGAUGAACAUAAAUGUUGUGUUCAAUGAGAUGACAAAAAAAAAUUAUUCUGUGUUAAAUUUUGGAUAAAAAAAUUUGAUUUAUAGUGUUGAAAUAUAUAUAGUAAAAAAAUGUUUGCUUAUAAUUGUGUGAAUUUUAUUCUAACACGUACAGACAAAAAAAUAAUAACCCCUCCUUAAAGUUAUUAAUGGUUGCUCCUUAAGUACAAAUGUAAACUAAACAUAUUUUGGAUGUAAAUUUAACAUCAUCACCUGUCAAAUUGCAUUGUUGACCAAGAAAUACAUGACAUGUGUUUUCAUAGUGGGUCUCAUUGGGGUCUAAGCGUGACACGGGAUUGCUGAUUUUUUGUAAGCGUAACACGUGAAAGUCAAAUUAUUGUGCCGUGUAAAUGGGAAAUGAAGUCUAGCGGGACACGGGAAAUUACAAAGAAAUGAGAAUUGCUUACGUACAUAGUUUAAGCGGGAUAAGGGCAUCUGACCAAUUUAAAACAGUAAGCGGGAUAAGGGAUUCUGACAAAACAGUAAGCAGGAUCCGGGAUCAGAACCCCCCAAUGAGACCCCCUUCAUACUAGAGCUAGUAACAUGAUUAAUAAUUACAUUUAAAUGUCUACAGUCUGAACAUUUUUUGAUACUUUAAUAUGUUAUAACUGUUUAAUAAUAUGGGUUAUUGAAAAUAAGGUUAAUGAUUAUAUAGACUCUUAAUUUAUCUCUCUACUGUACAUGUACUGUGAAAUGUGUGACCAAAUAAAAUUACAUUGUAAAAUUUACGUAUAAUAAGUGUAUGCAAUGAUACUUACAAUCUUAAGAAUUGAUUUUCAGAAGUCUUGUGGUGUAUGUUGUACAUGUAUGCACAUGAAUAUAUAUGUUCAUUUAUAUAUAGAAUCAGUUUCAUUUUUAACUUUGAUGUUUAAACAGUCCCAAUUUCAGUGUUCACAAUCAAUGUAAAUUUUUUAUGCCCUUGCAUAAAGUGGUCAGGCUAUAUAGUUUUACCUUUAUCCAUCAUUCCAUCAUUUUGUUAAUGUCUGUCAUUCCCCUAUUCUGCAAGAUACAGUUAUCAUUGGUUAUACAGACUGCUUUUCAACACAUCUCACAUAUUGAGCAGAUUUUUAGUUUCUACUCUUUGGGUGGGUUAUUGUUCUUUGAUAUAUUCCCCAUUUCCAUUCUCAGUUUUAUUUUAUAUUAUGAUAAGUAUGAUGAGUAACAGAUUAAGUAUACAUGUUUUCUCGUUUGAAUUGUUUUACAUUGUCUUAUCAGGGCCUUUUAUAGCCAACUAUGCGGUAUGGGCUUUGCUCAUUGUUGAAGGUCGUACAGUGACCUAUAGUUGUUAAUGUCUGUGUCAUUUUGGUCUCUUGUGGACAGUUGUCUCAUUGGCAAUCAUACCACAUCUUCUUUUUGAUAUGUCCCUAUACAUAAGGUUCUCCUCUAAUGACUUAUGCUGAAAUUAGCAUGAUUAUAAGGGGGUUAGGACUUUGAAAAUUUGUGAGUGGGGCUAAUAAUCACGACAUACCAGAACACCUACAUUGAAGCAUAUGAUUGUCCAAAUUUUUUUUCUCUUUGGUCAGCCAGGCCAAAAAUACACAGUUUUUAUACAUCCAACCUCUGAAAAAAUCCUGGAUCCGCCCAUAGUCUUAUAUAAUUGGUUAUUUACAUUGCCUCAUGUAUUUGAAAUUUAUUAAGUGUUUUUACUUAAGCCUUAUUUUUCCACACAUGUAAAUGAAUAUUUAUUUAUAUAUUUGUUAACCUGAAUCAAUUAUGUCAAAUUUAAAAACAAAACUGUUACGAUUGAUAUGGUUGUGAUUUUUACUUGUAUUGUUAGAGAAGAUGGUAUAAAAUCAACAGGGAUCACCACCAAAACAUAAUUUCAUUCCAUUGUCCAAGAAGUCAAGACCAUAAACACA